Molecule: ribosomal RNA, 482 nt
Filed under: uncultured bacterium
Lineage: Bacteria
Description: partial 16S ribosomal RNA
Rfam family: Bacterial small subunit ribosomal RNA
Source: RNAcentral
AUUGAACGCUGGCGGCAUGCCUUACACAUGCAAGUCGAACGGUAACAGGUCUUCGGAUGCUGACGAGUGGCGAACGGGCGAGUAAUACAUCGGAACGUGCCCGAUCGUGGGGGAUAACGGAGCGAAAGCUUUGCUAAUACCGCAUACGAUCUACGGAUGAAAGCAGGGGACCGCAAGGCCUUGCGCGGACGGAGCGGCCGAUGGCAGAUUAGGUCGUUGGUGGGAUAAAAGCUUACCAAGCCGACGAUCUGUAGCUGGUCUGAGAGGACGACCAGCCACACUGGGACUGAGACACGGCCCAGACUCCUACGGGAGGCAGCAGUGGGGAAUGUUGGACAAUGGGCGAAAGCCUGAUCCAGCCAUGCCGCGUGCAGGAUGAAGGCCUUCGGGUUGUAAACUGCUUUUGUACGGAACGAAAAGACUCUUUCUAAUAAAGAGGGUCCAUGACGGUACCGUAAGAAUAAGCACCGGCUAACUACGUG